RNAcentral lists this ribosomal RNA (494 nucleotides) under uncultured bacterium. RNAcentral's name for it is "partial 16S ribosomal RNA". It matches the Rfam family "Bacterial small subunit ribosomal RNA", at positions 29 to 507 of the family's 1533-position model. The record is from RNAcentral.
ACGAACGCUGGCGGCGUGCCUAAUACAUGCCAGUAGAACGCUGAAGGAGGAGCUUGCUUCUCCGGAUGAGUUGCGAACGGGUGAGUAACGCGUAGGUAACCUGCCUGGUAGCGGGGGAUAACUAUUGGAAACGAUAGCUAAUACCGCAUAAGAGUAGAUGUCGCAUGACAUUUGCUUAAAAGGUGCAACUGCACCACUACCAGAUGGACCUGCGUUGUAUUAGCUAGUUGGUGAGGUAACGGCUCACCAAGGCAACGAUACAUAGCCGACCUGAGAGGGUGCUCGGCCACACUGGGACUGAGACACGGCCCAGACUCCUACGGGAGGCAGCAGUAGGGAAUCUUCGGCAAUGGACGGAAGUCUGACCGAGCAACGCCGCGUGAGUGAAGAAGGUUUUCGGAUCGUAAAGCUCUGUUGUAAGAGAAGAACGAGUGUGAGAGUGGAAAGUUCACACUGUGACGGUAUCUUACCAGAAAGGGACGGCUAACUACGUG